RNAcentral lists this signal recognition particle RNA (90 nucleotides) under uncultured Kluyvera sp. RNAcentral describes it as "Bacterial small signal recognition particle RNA". It matches the Rfam family "Bacterial small signal recognition particle RNA". From Rfam's summary of the family: The signal recognition particle (SRP) is a universally conserved ribonucleoprotein involved in the co-translational targeting of proteins to membranes. Archaeal SRP consists of a 7S RNA and homologues of the eukaryotic SRP19 and SRP54 proteins. Lineage: Bacteria; Pseudomonadati; Pseudomonadota; Gammaproteobacteria; Enterobacterales; Enterobacteriaceae. The record is from RNAcentral.
UUGGUUCUCCCGCAACGCUACUCUGUUCACCAGGUCAGGUCCGGAAGGAAGCAGCCAGGGCAGAUGACGCGUGUGCCGGGAUGUAGCUGG